GUAGGCGGCAAGCGUUGUCCGGAAUUAUUGGGCGUAAAGCGCGCGCAGGCGGUCCUUUAAGUCUGAUGUGAAAGCCCACGGCUCAACCGUGGAGGGUCAUUGGAAACUGGGGGACUUGAGUACAGAAGAGGAAAGCGGAAUUCCAAGUGUAGCGGUGAAAUGCGUAGAGAUUUGGAGGAACACCAGUGGCGAAGGCGGCUUUCUGGUCUGUAACUGACGCUGAGGCGCGAAAGCGUGGGGAGCAAACAGGGAUUAGAUACCCUGGUAGUCCACGCCGUAAACGAUGAGUGCUAAGUGUUAGGGGGUUUCCCGCCCCUUAGUGCUGCAGCUAACGCAUUAAGCACUCCGCCUGGGGAUACGGCCGCAAGGCUG
This 372-nucleotide ribosomal RNA is filed under the name uncultured organism. RNAcentral's name for it is "partial 16S ribosomal RNA". It matches the Rfam family "Bacterial small subunit ribosomal RNA", at positions 527 to 896 of the family's 1533-position model. The record is from RNAcentral.